GCCUUCACCCACGCAGUUUUCACCACGAUGGAGGAGUGCCCACACUUCCAGGACCUUACUGUUAAGAGGUUCCUGAAGACCCUACUUGAGCACAACCGCCGAGACAUUCUCUCCAAGCUGGAGAAGUUUGUGCGCCUGAGUGAGUCGCUUCAGUGUCUUGGCGAACAUAACAACAUGAGAACAUGAGGGGAGCUGCAAGGAGCCAUCAGGCCUGCACAUGGCACUUCCUGAAUUGAAUGUGUCUAGCUAUUUCUACUUAUCCCUAUCCCUAGAUUUGUGUAUCUUCUUUUAAAAUCUCCCUAGUGACUCAGCACUAACAACCUGAUUACUGAGUCUAUUCUUUUCAUCCACCACUCUUUGAGAAUUAGUUCCUUGCACUCUGCUGCUUUGACUGGCCACUACUGCAUGAGCCCGUCUUGACUCCCUGACAUCUCAGUCACUUGAUUCAAAUGUCUGAUUAAUUAGUUAUAAUAAAUCAAUUGGAAGUUUGUUUGAUAAGACUGUGGGCCUGUGUAGCCAUGGAAGAUAUUGACUAUUGAAAUCUUGAGAACACUGUGUUGAAAUCUGUCACAUUAUUCACAGAGCCAGGGAGUGAUGCUGCUAAGACCUUCACUCUGUCUAUCCAGAGGGAUCCGCAGGUGCUGGUGGUGGAAUCUUGCUUGGACAGUGUGAUGGCAAGCAGUCAGGGUUCCAGUCAAAGGUGGUGGUGAUCCAUGCCCAGGACACCAGGGAGGAUGCACUGCAGCUUGCAUCUCAGCUGAGGAAUCCCAUGGAGGGCAACAGAUUGUAUGUGUUGCUUCUGCAAGAGUCUAAGAAGAACACACAAGUUAAGAGCAGCCUGAGGUGUGAUCCAUGGAACAGCAUCCACAAGUGGUUCAUCAAGGUUGACGCUGUGCUGCCGGUACUGUCGCCUCAGCUUCUGCGUCAGAUUCAGAACAGAGACUUCAGCAGAGAGAGUGAGUGGGAGAAACGCUACAACCGCUUUGCCCACUCGAUGAUGCUAGACCAGCAUGUGGAGUACAGGAGCAAGAAUGGGUUCUGCCGUGCCGUUUGUCCUGCCAGAUUCCCGGAGGAGACACACUUCAGUCACAAGAUGAAUGCAGUCAGCUACAGCAUGACAUAGACAAGCUAUAGACAGUUGAGAGAGGAAGAAGUCAGUGGCACCCUCACCUCAGACAAGACAAAGCUAACAAUUGAUAAUGAAAGACCAGCAGCAGCAGCAGCAGCAGCAGCAGCAGCAGCAGCAGCAGCAGCAGCAGCACACAAGAGGUGUUUUCUGUAUGAUGAUGAUAAUGGAAAAAGCAUGUUAUAAGCAGGGCAACGUAAUGAAAUUCAGUGAAUGGACGUGUGUGCGUGGCUGCAAUCACUAUGAAAUUAAGUUGAAAAUAAGAAAUAUAUUACUUUACAGAAAGGAAUGCUUAGAGUGAAUGAAAUUACUGUAAUGAAUGAAUGGAAAUAAAGUUGUGAGUCAUUAAAUGAUUAGGAAAAGAAGCUGUGAAUAGGUGCAUUAUUGUUAUUACUGAAAGGAAGAAUAUUUGUAGGAUAUGUCAUGUAUAUUAUCAAAGUGUUUUCAUUCUUACUUUCUUCUUUCUCUUUCAUCUUUUCUUAGUAUAUUUAAGUGAAUUUCUCUCUCUCUCUCUCUCUCUCUCUCUCUCUCUCUCUCUCUCUCUUCUCUCUCUCUCUCUCUCUCUCUCUCUCUCUCUCUCUCUCCAGCCAUCUCUUCUCUCUCCUUCCAUCUUUUUCUUAGUAUAUUUAAGUGAAUUUCUCAGAUCUCUCUCUCUCUCUCUCUCUCUCUCUCUCUCUCUCUCUCUCCUCUCUCUCUCUCUCUCUCUCUCUCUCUCUCUCUCUCUCUCUCUCUCUCUCUCUCUCUCUCUCUCUCUCUCUCUCUCCAGCCAUCUCUUCUCUCUCCUUCCAUCUUUUUCUUAGUAUAUUUAAGUGAAUUUCUCAGAUCUCUCUCUCUCUCUCUCUCUCUCUCUCUCUCUCUCUCUCUCUCUCUCUCUCUCUCUCUCUCUCUCUCUCUCUCUCUCUCUCUCUCUCUCUCUCUCUCUCUCCCUCUUUCUUUCUUUCUUUCUUUCUUUCUUUCUUUCUUUUUCUUUCUUUCUUUCUUUUUCUUUCUUUUUCUUUCUUCCUCUCUCUCUCUCUCUCUCUCUCUCUCUCCUCUCCUCUCUCUCUCUCUCUCUCUCUCUCCAGUAGUCAGUAGUCAGUAGUCAGUGAGGAGGUAGUAGCAAGUAGUGUUCAAGUAGCCUUAGUAAUAGAAUAGUUUGGCUUGCAUGGCAGUGGUUAAAACAUCUACCCUCUCACAUCGUUGGGGUGAGACCACUUGCUUCAUAUGAGCCAAAUGGGGUGACUCCUCCCCUCCCCACCCCUCCCUGUCAAUCUGUGGGUGAGUGUUGCCCAUGCACCUUUAAGGAGAUCAAAUUUGAGAGGUACAUUUUGCUUAUUCCUUCUGAUUAUGCAGGAUUCAACCAUUAAUUUCAUCUCUAUAAAACUCUAUGGGUUUCACUUGCCAUAGACUUGUGGGAUGAAACAAGGGAGAUAAUUUUGCAGUCUACUCUCUUUUUUUCAUCUGUGUUACAGUCUAUGGGUUUCACCUGCCCAGGUUGGUGGUGGUGGGGUGGGAUGGGGUGGGGGAGUUCUAAUACUCUGAGGGGAGCCCUGCUGUAGGUUGUCAAAAGAAAAAUUUAUUAUUAUUAUUUUUUUUUAUUGAUUUUGUUAUUGUUCUCAAGUUCUCAGUAUUAUUAAAACCAGCACUAACAUCUUAUUUUACAGAUCAAUCAAUCAAUACUAUUUCCAAUAAAUAUUUACUAAAUGUUAUUGUUUUAUUAACACUCAAACUACAUUAAUGAUGAGAUGAGUAGAGAGAUUUUGUUUUGGGGUGAGGGAAAAAUUGUGCUUUUGUGAUUUAGAAGGAAGCAUAAAUUGUGUGUUUUGUUGAGUUAAAGGGUAAUUUUAGUAACUUGAGAAGACAAAGGAAGAAAUUGUGUUUGUGAUUUGUAAUAAACACAGGAUGAGGCAGAAAUGUGUGUGUGUGUGUGUGU
RNA transcript from Scylla paramamosain (green mud crab), 3038 nucleotides. RefSeq lists it as uncharacterized. The record is from RefSeq and is a predicted model, not a curated record. The transcript is spliced from 5 exons. NCBI's taxonomy places the organism in Eukaryota, Metazoa, Arthropoda, Malacostraca, Decapoda, Portunidae.